UAAAAAGGGGGGCUGGGAAGAAGCCAUGCACAGAACUGAGAAGGGAUAAUACUAGAUGGAACACAACAUAGAAAAUGUUAGUGUAAAAAAAGAAAAAAAAUUACCAAAGAUUAAUUGUAAUUCUUUGGGAAUGACAUUCUUUUCCAAUGAUGGUACUUUUAUGUAGAAUUUCAGAUACUACAAAAUGCCAGAGGCAGGUAAGAAAAAAAUGCCACUAGUGAACUAGGCAGGGAGAUGGGUCAUCACAUUCCUAUGGCUCAUUGCCAUGACAACUCCCAACACUAAAGACUUAUCACCAUGGCAACUCCUGCCUCAGGUUUGGCAUUCUAAAACAACCAAGGGGUUUGAACUGGAGAGUAUUCUAAUUAAGUUUUCUGAAGUUACCAAUGGGGAAAAAUUCGGAUGCUAUUUUAAUCAAGAUAACCAAUGGGAGCAAAUGGACUAAGGUUUUAAAUGAGAUGCAGUAGAAGGUUCUCAACCAGAAGAAAUGAAGCAGAGUAGACACAUGGAAAAUCGCUGUCAAGGCCCAUUUACCUGCCUAUUGCCUGCACAUCACCUGCCACUUGCCCUCAUUGAUGGAUCAACACAUGCUAGUCUGGAGACUGCUUGCAGACUGCAGGUGGAUCAUGGAUCACUGCCCUCUGAUGUCUAAGCAUCCAUCCUCAGAUGACAACUUGUUUUUUCCCAACCAGACUUCAAGUGGAACUGACUUCUAAAAGGGAACUCACAUCCCCCACAUCGUCCAGCCCCCUCACAUUUGACACCCUCUUUCAGCUCUGAAGCAGCUAGAAUGAGCCAUCACCCCUUCUCCUUGUUGGGUGCAGAGCAGGCUGAACUGUGUUGUCUGCAGGGCAGGCUGAACAGAUGUUGGCUGCAAGAUAGCCCACGCACUCAAACCCCCCUCUAUCUGGU
Non-coding RNA from Ictidomys tridecemlineatus (thirteen-lined ground squirrel), 912 nucleotides. Lineage: Eukaryota; Metazoa; Chordata; Mammalia; Rodentia; Sciuridae. The record is from RefSeq and is a predicted model, not a curated record.